GUAGGUGGCAAGCGUUGUCCGGAAUUAUUGGGCGUAAAGCGCGCGCAGGCGGUCCUUUAAGUCUGAUGUGAAAGCCCACGGGCUCAACCGUGGAGGGUCAUUGGAAACUGGGGGACUUGAGUACAGAAGAGGAAAGCGGAAUUCCAAGUGUAGCGGUGAAAUGCGUAGAGAUUUGGAGGAACACCAGUGGCGAAGGCGGCUUUCUGGUCUGUAACUGACGCUGAGGCGCGAAAGCGUGGGGAGCAAACAGGAUUAGAUACCCUGGUAGUCCACGCCGUAAACGAUGAGUGCUAAGUGUUAGGGGGUUUCCGCCCCUUAGUGCUGCAGCUAACGCAUUAAGCACUCCGCCUGUGGAGUACGGCCGCAAGGCUG
RNAcentral lists this ribosomal RNA (372 nucleotides) under uncultured organism. Its description in RNAcentral is "partial 16S ribosomal RNA". It matches the Rfam family "Bacterial small subunit ribosomal RNA", at positions 527 to 896 of the family's 1533-position model. The record is from RNAcentral.